RNAcentral lists this ribosomal RNA (305 nucleotides) under uncultured bacterium. RNAcentral describes it as "bacterial SSU rRNA". It matches the Rfam family "Bacterial small subunit ribosomal RNA", at positions 334 to 636 of the family's 1533-position model. The record is from RNAcentral.
UGGUCCUACGGGGGGCAGCAGUGAGGAAUAUUGGUCAAUGGGCGGAAGCCUGAACCAGCCAAGCCGCGCGAGGGAAUAAGGCCCUACGGGUCGUAAACCUCUUUUGCCGGGGAGCAGGGGCCGGGACGCGUCCCGGCCCGGAGAGUACCCGGAGAAAAAGCAUCGGCUAACUCCGUGCCAGCAGCCGCGGUAAUACGGAGGAUGCGAGCGUUAUCCGGAUUUAUUGGGUUUAAAGGGUGCGUAGGCGGGCUUUUAAGUCAGCGGUAAAAAUUCGGGGCUCAACCCCGUCCGGCCGGUGAAACUGG